Small nucleolar RNA from Octodon degus (degu), 108 nucleotides. The record is from Ensembl. NCBI's taxonomy places the organism in Eukaryota, Metazoa, Chordata, Mammalia, Rodentia, Octodontidae.
CCUUGCUAUAAAGGAAGGCAGAAGGAAAGGGCUCUGGCCCCUUCAGUAUCAAGACUGGUACCAGGGGCUUCCCAUCUGCAUGUUCUAUCCUCAAACACCAGAAUACAU